UCAGGAUGAACGCUGGCGGCGUGCCUAACACAUGCAAGUCGAGCGAUCUCUUCGGAGAAGAGCGGCGGACGGGUGAGUAACGCGUGGGUAACCUGCCUCAUACACAUGGAUAACAUACCGAAAGGUAUGCUAAUACAGGAUAACAUAAGAGAUUCACAUGGAUUUCUUAUCAAAGCUCCGGCGGUAUGAGAUGGACCCGCGUCUGAUUAGCUAGUUGGUAAGGUAACGGCUUACCAAGGCGACGAUCAGUAGCCGACCUGAGAGGGUGAUCGGCCACAUUGGAACUGAGACACGGUCCAAACUCCUACGGGAGGCGGCAGUGGGGAAUAUUGCACAAUGGGCGAAAGCCUGAUGCCAGCAACGCCGCGUGAGUGAUGAAGGCUUUCGGGUCGUAAAACUCUGUCCUCAAGGAAGAUAAUGACGGUACUUGAGGAGGAAGCCCCGGCUAACUACGUGCCAGCAGCGGC
RNAcentral lists this ribosomal RNA (467 nucleotides) under uncultured bacterium. RNAcentral's name for it is "bacterial SSU rRNA". It matches the Rfam family "Bacterial small subunit ribosomal RNA", at positions 24 to 518 of the family's 1533-position model. The record is from RNAcentral.